Molecule: ribosomal RNA, 509 nt
Filed under: uncultured cyanobacterium
Lineage: Bacteria; Bacillati; Cyanobacteriota
Description: bacterial SSU rRNA
Rfam family: Bacterial small subunit ribosomal RNA
Source: RNAcentral
GAAUUUUCCNNAAGGGCGAAACCUGACGGAGUAAUACCGCGUGCGGGAGGAAGGUCUUUUGAUUGUAAACCUCUUUUNUCAAGGAAGAAUUUNGACGGUACUUGAUGAAUAAGCCUCGGCUAACUCCGUGCCAGCAGCCGCGGUAAUACGGAGGAGGCAAGCGUUAUCCGGAAUUAUUGGGCGUAAAGGGUCCGUAGAUGGUUUUGUCAGUCUGCUGUCAAAGCCCGUGGCUCAACCACGGAAAGGCGGUGGAAACUACAAGACUAGAGUGCAGUAGGGGCAGAGGGAAUUCCCAGUGUAGCGGUGAAAUGCGUAGAGAUUGGGAAGAACACCCGUGGCGAAAGCGCUCUGCUGGACCGCAACUGACAUUGAGGGACGAAAGCUAGGGGAGCGAAUGGGAUUAGAUACCCCAGUAGUCCUAGCCGUAAACGAUGGAUACUAGAUGUUGUCUGUAUCGACCCAGACAGUGUCGUAGCUAACGCGUUAAGUAUCCCGCCUGGGGAGUACGC